GACAUCGUACGUGUAUUAACUAACAUUGGCUGGUCUUUCUCGACCAAUUAGAGACUCGUUAAUAUUCGGCGAAGGAUCACGUGACCCACGCGAUUCUCUUUUGUCACGUUCAUUUCUCCGGCGAUCUUCGACGCGGCGUGUUGGCUCAGUGAGAAAUUAUCGACAUAACCUUACAACGCGUGAUAGAAGAAGGACCGAUAAGAAAAUGGCCGAUCGAACGAUAGAACGAUAGAACGAGAUAAAUGAGAACGGACCUAUGCAGUUCCCUUUCGACGAGGAGAGAAAGGAAAAGAGGAGACACACACAUACACACACGUAAGACGUUGAUUCUUCGUUGGAGUAACAAAUGGGCGAGGUUUACGUUGAAGCAAUAAAGUCCUCUUCUCGUAUCGCUUCGAUCAGGAGACGGAAGAGAUACGGAAGAGAAGGAAAGAGGAAGAAAGGAGGAAAGAAGGAUGGAAGAGAAACGUGAGUCGCACAAGUAGGCCUACGAGACGAGGAUGAUUGCGAGGAAUAAAAGUCGCAGGGUGUGACUGAUCGUUUAUUCCGUCGGGUUGGGAUGAGACGCCGAAAAGAGGUUUCGUUUGCUAUGAUUCAUCCAGAAGAAGAAGAAGAAGAAGAAAGAAGAGGACGAAGAAGAAGAAGAAGAAAAAACAAAAACAUUUCGUAAAUUAAAAGAAAUAAAUAUUGUCAUAGAGGUUAAAGACGAAGGGCAAAAAACAAGGACACGAGAGUGAAGAAACAAAAGCGUAAUAACUUCGUUAGAUAAUCAUUGUAGAAUUGAUAGAUCGAUCGAAUUGGGGAUUGGCUGAGGACAAACGCAUGGUAGUGAGUAUUACGAACAGUAGAUAAACCGACCGACCGACCAAUCGACCUAUCGAACCCCUCUUCUUCUUAUUCCUCACGAGAGGAGAAUCUAAUCAAACAUUUAUGCUAAAUCACGAAACAAUCCGUACGAAAUCAGCAAAUAAAAGGGCUCGACCAAUGAAUGUCGAAGCCCUCGCUUGUGUUCCCUUUCUCUCUCUCUCUCUCUCUCUCUCUCUCUCUCUUUCUCUCCCAUUUCGCAGCCCUUAAAGCCCUUACAUCGUUGGUCAUUUGAAUCUCCUAUUUACUCGUCCAUACUGGACAAAAAGUUGAUGGACAUUCCGUACCGGACAAAAGGCACUCUUCGUGAUGCUGCAGAGUGAAGAGAAGAUAGAUAGAAAGAGAAAGAGAGAGAAAGAGAGAGAGAUAGAGAGAACGGUAUGUAAAUUCUUAGUCAGGCAGACGGUCGCGAGAGUAUUUGGCUUUGAAACGCAUUUGCAUGGGCCACACAUUUGUGGCGACUACUAUAGCUCGGCCUCUAUCCUGAUUGCCCUCGUUUAUUAAGAUUAACUUUUCUCGCUCUAAUCUCGGUGUCUCCCUAGAGCGGUCCUUUAAUAUUACCGAAGUUCCAUUGUGAUAUCUCGACGAUCUUUGUCCGUCUUUCUCUUUCUCUUUUAGUUACGAUUUAAACUAUGGAAAUGUUGCAUCGAAAAGUGUGAUAGAUUUUGCAUAUAUAUAUAUAUAUAUAUAUAUAUAUAUAUAUAUAUAUAUAUAUUUAAAUGUAUAUAUGAUGCAAUGUAAUACGCAUGCAAUGCAUGUAUAUACGAUUUAAACUUGGAAAUGUUGCAUCAAAAAUUGUGAUAAAUUUUGCAUGUAUAUAUUUUACUUAUAUUUAUUAUAUAUAUUGUAUACAUAUUUAGUGUAUAUUUAUUACAUUUAUUGUAUAUUAUAUAUAAUUGUAAUUAUAUAGUUAUAUAUAUAUAUAUUUUUGAAUCUAUAUAUAUUAAAAUGAAAAAUUCGUACUCUCUUCAUAAAAUCUCACGACUGACAUUAAACGUUGUAAAAGCGAUGUAAUAACUAGGUUUAUGCGUGCUCUUGUAUACAAACACGUACACAUAUACCAACUACUUCUAUAUUUGUCUCUUACUUUUUCUUUUUUCUUUUUAACUUCUAAGAUUUCUUGCAUCAUUAACGGGUAAUAAUAAGAAAAUUGAAGUCGAGUAACCGUAGAUCCCGCAUGACUUGAAAGUAACGAUUAAAGUUCUGACAUUAUUAUUUCUCUUCUAGGUAGGCGUAUCACGCUUUUACGCAGAUACGUAUAUAUUUACAGGUAGCGAACAGUAUUAUCCGUAUGUAUUUCUCUUCGUCUUCGUCGUCGUUGUAACAACUAUUAACCGUUUCUAUGGAUUCACGCUUUUUCAUAGAAAUAAUUAUCCGCAUUUUACCGUAUCGCCAUUUGUCUCGUGAUCCUUGCGUGAGUAAUAAAUAUGUUUCUCGCGAGACACGCGUUACACAUAUUUACGAAUAAAUACACACAUACAUAUACGUACAUAUAUAUAUGUGUGUAAUACGUAGAAACAUAAUUUUCUAUCUCGUUUCUAUUACGAUAUCUCAUUAAAUUCUUUUCCAAAGUAACUCUCGUUCGAUCGAUGCAUUUCUCUCUCUCUCUCUAUCUCUUUUAUCUUUUUUCUUUUUUUUUUUUUAUUAUAACUCCGUUUUUUUCUUUUUUAUUUUCUUUCCUUUUUUUCGUUUGAUUUUUAUGAAUGAAACCAAUUUAAUUGGAUUAUAACUAAUUACAUUAAGGUUCCAUCGGGUUUUAUAAUAAUACCACGUUGUAAUAUCGUUGAAACGAGUAGAGAGUAACAUCGGCCACCUGAAUUUUCUGCUUUUAAAAGCUUUUAAAUUUCCGCCGACCCCGGAUAGAUAGGUAAUUAUUAUGCGUACGCGUCUCUGGCCGAAUACAAAUUGAAUUAUAUCGAACCGAGUGAUUUACUUUACGUUUUUGUUAUCUAUAUAGAGGCUAUACAUAUAGGAUGACAUUGUAUUGUUAAUGGUUAUGUAGUGGAACAGAAGAACAAGGAGGAGGAGAAGGAGGAGGAGGAGGAGGAGGAAGAAGAGGAAGAGUAAGAGUAAGAGUAAAAGGGUGGGAGAGAGACAAUUCGAGAGGGGGACCCUCCUAAUCUGGAAAAGUCACCCUGUUAUAUAAUACAACGCUUGAUUACAUCGGCCAUAGUCACUCGCACUCCUCUCGACGGUAGAAAUAAAGUCUCUGUGUCAUUUAUCAAACUCGAUGCCAUCGCCCAUUCUUUCUUUCUCUCUCUUUCUCUCUCUUUCUCUCUCUUUCUGUUUUUCUUUUCCUCUGUCUCUCUAAUUCACUAUACCUCAUUCAAUCUUUUUCUUUUCUUAAUAAAAGAAACGUGAUUUUUGCGAAACAAUUUGUAUUGUCAGAUUUUCUAUUUUUGGAUCGAUCUCUUUCGAUAUAUAUAUGUGUAUAUAUAUAUAUAACUUUGACAUAGUUUGAGAAAACGAAAUGUAGAAUAAUGUUUCUCUCUCUCUCUCUCUCUCUCUCUUUCUCUUUCUAAUCUCGUCGACAUCGUCAUUCCAUCCUCGUAUCAUUCUACUCGUGCUUUGAAUUCGUUUACCUACGAUCUUUCGAUUCGAUCUCUCGUCGAUGAUUUUCUUUGGCAAAGGAGGGUUGAGAAAUCGAAGACGUUAUAUCAUCGUAUAAAUCCAUUCGAGAUUAGUUAUCUUUAUUCUUGCCGUGUAUUUCACCGAAAUAAAUUUGUAUAUAUUAGAAUAACGUUUAGAAUCGAUAUGUAUGUAAGUAACUAUCUAUCUAUUUAUCUCUCUCUCUCUCUCUCUUUCUCUCUGUUUCUUUCUAUAUAUAUACAUACAUACAUAUAUACGUAAGUACAUAACUAGUAUGUUACCUACGUAAGUACGUACCGUAAGUAGUAAGUACUCGAAUCAAAUCCCGUUUAAAUUUCGAGUUAAACAUUUUACAAAGAGGGUUAUUCAUCUUCUAAAUCUAACAAGUAACCCUCUCUGAUGAUUCUCCUCCUCCUCUUUCUCCUUUUUUAAAGUACCAGUCGAGUUUUUAUGAGGAGGACCAAACGAUAAGCGCAUGAAACGAUAGAGAACGAUACAUCCGAAUGCGUUUUAGCGUGGAUCAAAUGCAUUACAUGUCUACAGUCAGACAGAGAGAGAGAAAAAGAGAAAGAGAGAGAGAGAGAGAGAGAGAGAAAAAGAGAAAGAGAAAGCUCGUCGUAGCAGACCGCAGGCAUAUACACGAAGCUUAUAGGCUGCAUGCGGAAAGGAUUACAUUGUCGGCCGUGAAACUAUUGACUAGUAUUCGCGUGGGCGUUUUAAACGAGCAACGACAACAUUUUCUCUGUUAUCCAUGAAACGGUUUAAACUGUCAUUACCUGUCGAUCAAAGAAAGGAAGCCGAUCGAUGAUCGCGCACUCGUAUGUCAGAUUUGCUUGGAACAAUGGCAGGCCGCGUGUACCAACACGUCGGAUCAAGACUUAAUAACGCACUCGUCUCAACAGAUUUCGACUUUGCUACCGAAAUUUGCUACCGAUAUCGUCCUGUACGAGUCCCUUUUGCUUUUCGGCAUCCCACUAAAUCAUCCUUCAGUGAUGAGCUUAUAUUCUUUUUUUUUUUUUUACAAAUUUUUCUUUCUUUUUCCUUAUUUCGUUUCUCUCUCUCUCUCUCUCUCUGUCUCUCUUUUUUACAGAGUAAAUAACAAAUCGUAAGAAACAUUGAUACGUCGUUAAGUCUGUGCAUACUCGUUCGGUCGUUUUUGAAUGUUUAAAAUACUUGAAGUUAACUGUCGAGAGUUAAUUCGUGUUAUAUUCGAGUCAAGUAUUCUGUGGAUUUAAAAGAAGGAGAGAAAGAAAGAGAGAGAGAUAAGGAGAUAGGAUAGUGCUUCCAAACAUCGUCGUAAAAAUUGGUUAGCUCUCGACAGAAAGGAACGCUUGGUAAUAUCCUUGAGAAGGUGCUAAAAUCUGGAGCAUAAACACUGACCGCGACGUAAAAUAAGACUCGGAGUAUCGAAUCGUUUUAUCUCUCUUUCUUUCUCUUCCUCUUUCUCUCUCUCUCUUUCUUUCCCUCUCCAUCCCCUUUGUAAGUCUACUCUUCUCCUCUUUCUACUCUUUCCUACUUUUCUUCGGCCAGCAUAAAUCACUGCCGCCUUCGUAUUUAUAUUCAUAGGCGCGUUGAGGAAGAUUGAAGAGCCACGGUACCGCUGGGAGUUGCUCGUAAAAUCCGUUAGAUUGUAAAAUAUUGUUGCGACGAACCGAAAGGCCGAACAUCAGCAACAGCAACAACAACGCAACAACAACGUUCACGGCUUCCACGCUUGAAAAAGUUCACGCGUGGAAAAGUUCAAAUGCGAUACGUUCAUCUUAUGAACGUUCUUGUUGUCUACGUUGCACGGUCUUUUAGAUCGAUGUUAUUUUAAUCUUCUUUCUCUUUUUUUUUUUUCUUUAUGAGUUUCUUCUUCAGCAUCAUUCCGAUAUCGAUUUCGUUGAUAUUAGAAAGUAAUAAUAAUAAAAAAAAAUAAAUAAAUAAAAGAAAAAAGAAGUAAAUGAUUUUCUUCAAUUAUUUCUAAUCCUAUCGUACAAAACAAUCAUGGAGACUCAAGAAGAUAAUCAAUUUAACUCAAUGGUAUUAUAUAGUGUCUAACAGUCAUGAUCGUUACGGUCGUGAUCACGGUGAGAGAGGGCGGAAAAGGGGGAGGGGAGUACAAGGAGGGUGAGUAUGGGGGAAAAGAGAGAUGAGUCUCUCUUCCUUCGAGUCCUUUUUCACGUCCUAUGUUGUUGUUAUUGUGGUUGUUGUUGUUGUUGUUGUUGUUGUUGUUGUACAUGGAAUUACGAUACGUCGUAAUAACGUAAUGAUUUACCACACGAGGUAAAAUCUUCGGACACAUCCUCUCCGAGUCGUUGGAAAUGAAGAAAAUUAAGGAUAAUCGGGAUAGUUUCGAAUUAAGACGAUAUUAUUGUAGAGGAUCGUUAUGCUCCGGGUAAUUACGUUUCGAUCCUUGAAAUUGGAAUAAUCAGUUUAGCUAUUAGACUAGGAAACUCGAGAAAUGUUAUCGAUCAUCUUGAUUUGUCUUAUCUUUUGUUAAAUACUUUAUUACUAUUUUUAGAGAAUUUAUUAGAGAAGAAAGCAAAGCGUUAUACAUAUAUAUAUAAUUUAUAAAUAUAAUAGAAUAUUUUAUUAUAAGUAGAAUAUACAUACACCUAAGUAAGAUAUUUAAAAUAUUUUAUAUAUACAUAUAUAUGUGUGUGUGUUGUGUGUGUAUAUAUAUAUAUAGCCAUUACAAUAUUCUAUUUAUAAUUAAUAAAAUAUUUUAUAAAAUUUUAAUACAUUUUGCAGUAAACCAUUGUUGGAUAUCUUCGUUGGAUAUGACGUAAUUGUAAAUAUUUGUAACUCUAGGUACGGUACAUAUAACAAUGAGUGUUGUUCAAUGAUUUAGAAGGUCGGACGUAUUCACGGACGAAAAAUAUUGUUAGUCAUUCUUCUAUCGUCCUUUGUUAUUUCUCUUUCUCUCUGUAUCUCUAUUUCUUUCUUUCUUUCUUUCUUUCUUUCUUUCUUUCUUCAACUAAAUAUAUAAUAAUAUUUAUGCGUGUUAGAGACUAGUCACAUAGAGAAAGAGAGUGGGAGAGAGAGGGUGUCGCCGGUCGAGACUAGUUGGAAACCGCAGACUCGUAAGUAACGUUCGUCUGGCGGAAGUCUACGCGUAACGUCGAUGAGUAAUGCGACGUGAAUGGCCAGUUAUUAAUCAUUAUACCUAACGGAUACGUACAUCUCUGAUAUAAGGAAGAAGAUGCCUUUGGAAUAUCAACGUCUUGUGCUAUUUUGUACAAUAUUAAAGGCGAUUGGAAACGUCAGAACUAUGUCUGGCCGAGCAAACCGUACUAUUGAUGUUUGUUGACGCAUAUCAGAUGUACGCAUUGGUACGUGCAAACGGAGAGGAGAGGACACGUCAAUCCAUUAACCCUAGCGUGCAUCCUUGAUUACUAUGCUGGUAAUAACGUUAAUCAAGUGCUAAGAUUAAUUUGCUGCCAUACUAACGGCGUUGUUGGAUGGUAAGGUAUAACUAAGUAUGUAACACUUAGUAGAUUUCGUAAUGUACGUCGUGUAAUAAACUAUUCGAAUAUAGAUGUUAAUUAUUUUGAUUAACUUAAGAUAGGAUCAGUUUUAACGAGAGGAUAUUAUUAGAAUCGUAUUUGUUUUUCUUAUACAUUAUAUACUCUAUACAU
Vespula vulgaris is the source of this 7073-nucleotide long non-coding RNA. RefSeq lists it as uncharacterized. Lineage: Eukaryota; Metazoa; Arthropoda; Insecta; Hymenoptera; Vespidae. The transcript is spliced from 5 exons. The record is from RefSeq and is a predicted model, not a curated record.